Molecule: ribosomal RNA, 492 nt
Filed under: uncultured bacterium
Lineage: Bacteria
Description: partial 16S ribosomal RNA
Rfam family: Bacterial small subunit ribosomal RNA
Source: RNAcentral
AGUGAACGCUGGCGGUAGGCCUAACACAUGCAAGUCGAACGGCAGCACAGUAAGAGCUUGCUCUUACGGGUGGCGAGUGGCGGACGGGUGAGGAAUACAUCGGAAUCUACUUUUUCGUGGGGGAUAACGUAGGGAAACUUACGCUAAUACCGCAUACGACCUACGGGUGAAAGCAGGGGAUCUUCGGACCUUGCGCGAUUGAAUGAGCCGAUGUCGGAUUAGCUAGUUGGCGGGGUAAAGGCCCACCAAGGCGACGAUCCGUAGCUGGUCUGAGAGGAUGAUCAGCCACACUGGAACUGAGACACGGUCCAGACUCCUACGGGAGGCAGCAGUGGGGAAUAUUGGACAAUGGGCGCAAGCCUGAUCCAGCCAUACCGCGUGGGUGAAGAAGGCCUUCGGGUUGUAAAGCCCUUUUGUUGGGAAAGAAAGGCAGCAGGUUAAUACCCCGCUGUUCUGGCGGUACCCAAAGAAUAAGCACCGGCUAACUUCGUG